This 496-nucleotide ribosomal RNA is filed under the name uncultured bacterium. RNAcentral's name for it is "partial 16S ribosomal RNA". It matches the Rfam family "Bacterial small subunit ribosomal RNA", at positions 29 to 507 of the family's 1533-position model. The record is from RNAcentral.
AUGAACGCUGGCGGCGUGCCUAAUACCUGCCAGUCGAGCGAACAGACGAGGAGCUUGCUCCUCUGACGUUAGCGGCGGACGGGUGAGUAACACGUGGAUAACCUACCUAUAAGACUGGGAUAACUUCGGGAAACCGGAGCUAAUACCGGAUAAUAUAUUGAACCGCAUGGUUCCAUAGUGAAAGACGGUUUUGCUGUCACUUAUAGAUGGAUCCGCGCCGCAUUAGCUAGUUGGUAAGGUAACGGCUUACCAAGGCGACGAUGCGUAGCCGACCUGAGAGGGUGAUCGGCCACACUGGAACUGAGACACGGUCCAGACUCCUACGGGAGGCAGCAGUAGGGAAUCUUCCGCAAUGGGCGAAAGCCUGACGGAGCAACGCCGCGUGAGUGAUGAAGGUCUUCGGAUCGUAAAACUCUGUUAUUAGGGAAGAACAAAUGUGUAAGUAACUAUGCACGUCUUGACGGUACCUAAUCAGAAAGCCACGGCUAACUACGUG